This is a long non-coding RNA of Danio aesculapii, 521 nucleotides long. RefSeq lists it as uncharacterized. The record is from RefSeq and is a predicted model, not a curated record. Lineage: Eukaryota; Metazoa; Chordata; Actinopteri; Cypriniformes; Danionidae. The transcript is spliced from 4 exons.
GUUUUCCCGGAAGAUCAGUCUAGAGGAGCGGAGAGGAGCUCUCGAUGGAGCAUCCAUGUGUUUCCAGCAUAAUGCAAGAGCCCUUCUAGCUUGAAGAACACCAAUUAACAUGUUUGUGAUGUGGGCGGCCGUCAGAAUCUGCUCCUCACCCUGUUUCUGCGAGCGCAAGAGGGAAAGAAAAUGUUGAUCCGGUGCCAUCGAGUCCUACCUCGAGGAGUGUGUGAAUUCAACAGGCAGAUCUGAACACAAACAGCUCAUGAGAGCGACCGCACUGACCCACAAACUGCAGAAAUCCUCAGCAGAUUAUUAUUACACCGCUCUGAGAUCCUGCCGUUCCUGGGCGACGCAGUAGGUAGUUCUGUCACCUCACAGCAAGAAGGUCGCUGGUUCGAGCCUCGGCUGGGUCAGUUGGCAUUUCUGUGUGGAGUUUGCAUGUUCUCCCCGUGUUGGCGUGGGUUUCCUCCGGGUGCUCCGGUUUCCCCCACAAGUCCAAAGACAUGUGGUACAGGUGAAUUGGGUAG